CUUUACUAUAACUUCGUAUUGACUUUGAAUAAACAAUGUGUAGGAUAGGUGGGAGACUUUGAAGCUGGCACGCUAGUGUCGGUGGAGUCAACGUUGAAAUACCACCCUUUGUUUAUUUGGAGCCUAACUUCCUAACGGAAGGACAUUGCGUGGUGGGUAGUUUGACUGGGGUGGUCGCCUCCAAAAGAGUAACGGAGGCUUUCAAAGGUACCCUCAGCACGCUUGGUAACCGUGCGUAGAGUGUAAUGGCAUAAGGGUGCUUGACUGUGAGACCUACAAGUCGAUCAGGUGCGAAAGCAGGACAUAGUGAUCCGGUGGUUCCGUAUGGAAGGGCCAUCGCUCAUAGGAUAAAAGGUA
Molecule: ribosomal RNA, 357 nt
Filed under: uncultured organism
Description: bacterial LSU rRNA
Rfam family: Bacterial large subunit ribosomal RNA
Source: RNAcentral